GUAAUGUCUGUUGAGUGCGUGAACCACGGGUGGGCCUCGGUCUCCGUGGGCACGAUGGACCCAUUGAGAGAAGCGGCACGCACGUAGGAGGCACUGUGCCGUGGCGGGCCUCGAGGGAGAAGAUCUGGCUCGAGGUGGCAGGACACCCAGAAGUCCGGGCUGCUGUGAGGUCGAGGCCCCAGGGAAGUUGGGCUGAGCAUGGUCCGCUCAGGUCUCGUGUAAAUCACUCAGGAGCCUCGAUGGUGUGAGUACUCUUAGCAGAGACCAGGACCAGAGUGAGGUGAGUGGUUCAGGGUACAAAUAAAGGUCCCCUCGAACCAUUUCGGGAAUCAAGUGUGGAGACGGAAGCCCGACACAUGUGUCCACGUGGGCCAAGCCUAGGAUUAUGUGCAGCCACACGCCCCCUCAUCUGGCAUCCAGUCCACCGCCUCUUGGUCAAGAUUCCUCGAAGGCCACGGGCACCUCUAGUAGCCAGAGCCGAAAGGCCUCCCCGACCCUCAUUCCCUGACACCCUGGGCUGUUCCAGACCUUAGAGUGGGCCC
This 542-nucleotide long non-coding RNA is filed under the name Heterocephalus glaber (naked mole-rat). RNAcentral describes it as "lncRNA (ENSHGLG00100047646.1)". Lineage: Eukaryota; Metazoa; Chordata; Mammalia; Rodentia; Bathyergidae. The record is from RNAcentral.